ACGUUUGUUUGUUGAUUUCGAAAUCAAACAGAAUUUGCAAGUGGUAUGGACACUGAAUUUUUUAUUUCGCUUCUUUAUUCAGCUGCAGUGAAAAAUUUCAGUGAUGAAAGUUUCUGCUCAAAGCGAAGCAAUGAUCACAGGCACACGAGGUCGUCAUGGAGUGUUUUGCCAUGGAUUGUGUUCAACGAUUCGCUACUGAACAAGUUCGAUGAUGUCAAACAAAUCUCCAACUGGUUCUUCAAAGGGCAUAUUUUGAGCGACUUUAUCGAGAUUUUAUGAGGAGACAGUUUGACCUGAUUUGGGUCGCGAUCGACGACGAGGUGGUCGAGGCUCGGCUUGAGGAACUCUAGCCCAAAAUGUCCGAUCUGUGAUCGGUGAUCGAGAUGCCCGACACCGAAGCAUCGGUUCUGUCAUAACAAAAUCACCCAAAUCUCAAAUUAAAAUAUCUGAGUCAGGCAUUCUUUGCCCAAGAUCCACGUAUAAAUAGCUGUGCGUUGAUUUGCUAUGCGCUCGAGAAGCUACCGCUGCCCCAAGAGUAGGUGCUCGACGAAUUGCGGCAUAUGCUGAGCCCGUUUCUGGACGAGGAUCUUCGGAUCCAGCAAUGGGAUAGCAUUUGAAUGAAUCAUUGUUAUUUUUAGGAAGGAAUUAUGAUGUUAUUUUAAUCGUACAGAUUUCUACUGUAAUGGUGAAAUAAAAAACACUCUAGAAUGAAUGGAAGGGCAUAUAUUAUCUCGUAGACAAUCACAGGAAAUGAACACAUUACACAUAUAAAUAAAUAGUGCCGCUAGCUUCUUACGGAAUGUUAUUAUUUUUUCGGUCUUAAAAUUGUACACUUGUUUCUGAGACUGUUGAACCAAUAUGUGGCAACAGAACGUGUGAAAAAAUCAUGCUAUUUGUGUAUGUUUAGAAACAAAAUAACUGAGCGUAUGAAUGACUACACCGCAACUGGACUAAAUUUAGUUAUUCUAAAGUGGGGCGGAAGUAUUUACGAUAGGUGCUGCAAGAAUACCGUUAUGAUCCAGGAUGCGCUAAUGCCGUGAGGGCUGCUCUUACUUUGACCAUGCUCCUGAUGUGCCACACAAUAUGAAAACGCUCGUGGUUGCCGCAGCAGCUGUGGUUUUAAAAUUUUCGGUCUGCAAACAGCUGCAUGUAGCCGGAAUAUUUGCAGCAAUGUGUACCUGUCAAUCCACUAUAUAAAUAAAUGCAUGCAUGUCUAUGUGAGAGAUGUACAGUUUUGUGUAGUGUAUUUGUAUGUGAGAGAUGUACGGUUUUGUAUAGCGCGAGGUCUCUUUCACAUUGUUAUCCGGUUUUCCGUCCAAACCCAGCGGCGUUUUUUGAAACCGGUCCGGCAGAAACCGGAUAAUGUGUAAUCGGCCUAAGGGUCGAGCAGUUUUGCGUGUGGUCGACGCGGUGCCAGAUUGGCCCAAUGUUGGCUCAUAAUUGGUGGUCAAAUACGAAGGGUAGGUCGACAAAAUCAUUGCAAAAUGGCACGAUAUCGGUACCGUUGUCGACACCAUUUGUUGGGACCAAUUUUGCACAACAAAGUAGACUGGGUUGAAUCGAUAGCUAUCACUCGCUCGGUGCUAUCGAAUUGCUCGAUUUCUAUAAUAGUAAAAUAGGUCUAACGAGCAAAAUUCUUAUCGCCUCGAUUUCUAUAAUAGGACCCUAUAACUCGAACGAAAUGCAAAUCCGGCCGAGUACAGAAUCGGGGUGUAUACCUUCGUAAUGGCACUGCUGAAGUCCCUUUUGUAAACCCACCACGAGUAAACACCGAUGAAACUGCUGAGGCGAGGUACUUCCAAAGCCGAUUUCCAUAUCGAUGUUUUCUUAAACAAAUGAAAGUAAUAGUGACAUCAUGACGCCUCAGAUUUAGAUGAACUGAAAAUUGAAAAAGAAGAUUAUCCACGCGUCUCUGGAGUUGUUUAUUGAAUAACGUUCUAUACCUGUUUCAAUGUGCACACGGAAAUAGCCUUUGAAGCC
Molecule: long non-coding RNA, 1980 nt
Organism: Toxorhynchites rutilus septentrionalis
Lineage: Eukaryota; Metazoa; Arthropoda; Insecta; Diptera; Culicidae
Exons: 3
Source: RefSeq, a predicted model, not a curated record